RNAcentral lists this ribosomal RNA (245 nucleotides) under Basidiodendron sp. RNAcentral describes it as "partial 28S ribosomal RNA". It matches the Rfam family "Eukaryotic large subunit ribosomal RNA", at positions 104 to 344 of the family's 3401-position model. Lineage: Eukaryota; Fungi; Basidiomycota; Agaricomycetes; Auriculariales; Exidiaceae. The record is from RNAcentral.
AGAGCUCAAAUUUGAAAUCUGGCGUCUUUGGCGUCCGAGUUGUAGUUUAGAGAGGUGUUGUCCGCGGCGGACCUCGUACAAGUCCUUUGGGAUGAGGCGUCAUAGAGGGUGAGAAUCCCGUAUAUGACGAGGACUACCGUUGCUUUGUGUCGCACCCUCGAAGAGUCGAGUUGUUUGGGAAUGCAGCUCAAAAUGGGUGGUAAAUUCCAUCUAAAGCUAAAUACAGGCGAGAGACCGAUAGCGAA